This 366-nucleotide ribosomal RNA is filed under the name uncultured Rhodoferax sp. RNAcentral describes it as "bacterial SSU rRNA". It matches the Rfam family "Bacterial small subunit ribosomal RNA", at positions 1014 to 1382 of the family's 1533-position model. Lineage: Bacteria; Pseudomonadati; Pseudomonadota; Betaproteobacteria; Burkholderiales; Comamonadaceae. The record is from RNAcentral.
GCUCGAAAGAGAGCCGUAACACAGGUGCUGCAUGGCUGUCGUCAGCUCGUGUCGUGAGAUGUUGGGUUAAGUCCCGCAACGAGCGCAACCCUUGUCAUUAGUUGCUACGUUCAGUUGGGCACUCUAAUGAGACUGCCGGUGACAAGCCGGAGGAAGGUGGGGAUGACGUCAAGUCCUCAUGGCCCUUAUAGGUGGGGCUACACACGUCAUACAAUGGCUGGUACAAAGGGUUGCCAACCCGCGAGGGGGAGCCAAUCCCAUAAAGCCAGUCGUAGUCCGGAUCGUAGUCUGCAACUCGACUACGUGAAGUCGGAAUCGCUAGUAAUCGUGGAUCAGAAUGUCACGGUGAAUACGUUCCCGGGUCUU